Sorghum bicolor (sorghum) is the source of this 2391-nucleotide long non-coding RNA. RefSeq lists it as uncharacterized. The record is from RefSeq and is a predicted model, not a curated record. NCBI's taxonomy places the organism in Eukaryota, Viridiplantae, Streptophyta, Magnoliopsida, Poales, Poaceae. The transcript has 3 exons.
CAUCACUCAGAGCCGUGACCCCGUGACUCCUCCUCGCCAGUGGCCUCCUCUUCCUCUCCCAUCGUGACUCCUCGAUCUCUCCCCAAAGCCGUGAGCCCGUGACUCCUCCUCGAUCUCUCCCCUACGCACGAUCACCAGGGCGACUCCUCGAUCUCUCCCUCACGCUGCCCCAUCCUUGAUGAUAGAGGAGCAAGGGCAAGGGAGCCGUUGAGGCCGCACAGACCGGCGCUGGGCAAAGGCGAGGCCGCGGCAAGGCGUCGUAGGGCACUUUGCCUCCCCAAUGAUGCACCAUGCUGGACGUCGCCUUGGCCACGAGCGGACGCCUCGACUCUGCCCCGUCCCACAGCUCCCUUUCGCAUGUACGUUCCACGGCCAUGGCUAGGCGGGCGAACAGGCCGCCAGGUAGUUGGGCGGCCGGCGGAGCAGGCGGGUCCCCCAUUGCAGCAUAGGCGUAUAGCAUGAGACCCACACGGGGGACGACCUCCAACACAAGCCAAUGGCAAGUUGGCAGCAGGCAAGUUUGUAGUUUUGUGUCUUUCCCCUCCUUUCUCUUGUCCUGGAUCUAAGAUUUGACCCACGGUUUGAGUCACUGCAGGCAAGUCUGUAGUUAUGUCUUUUCCCUCCUUUCUUGUCCUGGAUCUGAGUUCUAAUUUGGAUCUCUUCCCCUUCUGUUGCUUGAUUUGGGGGAGCAUGAAGCUGACAGCAAAGUGGAGUUCACAUUGAUUUGGGGGAGCAUGAAGCUGACAGUUUGGACUUUGGGAGAAUAGAUAAUUUUUGAAUGACUGAAUGAAAAUUGGAGAUUUGGGUUGGCUGUUGGAAUGCUUAACCUACAUGGAAAUUUGCAAAACAGCCGAAGAACAAAACAUCAAUGGUGCAAGGAGGGAGCACUGCUUCCUAACUAGAUGAUAGAAGAGACUAAGAGUGUUUUGGCAGUCUGUCAAGGGCGUAGUGAUCUAGGGUAGGCGGCCCUCGACUACGGAGCUCGUAGUCUCCUGGCGUGUCUUCCAGUCCCGGAGGUUAUACCCCUCACAAUGGCCGGGCUUGAGAACGAGAGAGAGAGAGAUGGAGGUAAUUGAUCUUGCUUAAUUCUCCAAGUUCCCAUUACAAGUAUAAAUAGCCUGAGGCAGCAACUUAAUUGGAAAUAAACCUCCUAAACUCAAGGGAAAGACUUGUUGCUAAACUUAGGAAAUUGACUCGAUCUCUAACUAUCAGCCACAAUUCUGCUGCAGCUCCUUUGCAUGCGCGGCCAGCUCCUUCGCAUGCGCGGCUUGGACCAGGCUUGCCGCGCGCUCAGUCGCCCGGCGCACAUCAGCCACAAUUCUGCUGCAGCUCCUUUGCAUGCGCGGCCAGCUCCUUCGCAUGCGCUGCUUGGACCAGGCUUGCCGCGCGCUCAGUCGCCCAGCGCACAUCGCGGGCACGCCUCCUCCUUGUGUACCCGAUGCCCCACAUGACACAGUCACAAUAAAAGCACAUAAGGAUUGGCGAAUUAGUUUGGUUAUUACUUGUUUCUUUGAGGUGAGCAGCAGCCAUGGAACAGACUAAGAAUACUUUGGCAGUCACAAUGAAUAAUAUAUAUCAUCUUUUAGCUAUCACCGUAACAUUAGCACGGGCAAUAUCCUAUCACACAUAAUGCAUCUUGAAUAAAGAGUUCAGAUAUCAUGGAUAGUAGUGGUUUUCUCAAGGUCAUUAUGUGUGUGGAAAUGAAGAUUGCCUUGUAUAAAUAGAGCAUAGCUGAAAUUCUUACUGAUAUGAUAUUGGCAGGCGCAUUAUGUGAUGCAUUGUGCUACUGACUUUAUCGACAACAAAUGGUCACUUGCUAUUGACAGGUAGGACUAACUCACUAUUCGUGCUUGUGAUGCAUUGCCAGUAUUGGAGGCUUUGGAGACAAAAUGUUUAGAUAUAUGUUGAUGUUUUUAUCAUUAAUACUUGUAGUUUUUUUGGGACAAACUCACAAAAGUGCUGCCUUAGAUAAGGAUAAUUCAGCUUUUGUUCUACUAUAUAUUCUGUUGUUGUUUCCACGGCCACCUUUAGCUGCAAAGCAACGCUGCAGGUAUCAAGUGCUCAUGUGCAGGUGUUAAUGUUCUGACUAACAGGGAAGAAGUAAAAUACAAUUUCCCUUUAUCGAGAAGAGUAUUUGGAGGUUUAUGUAUGUAUGUUUAAUAAACAUUCCACUUGUUGACACUUCCCUGAAAUAGCCUUUUCUUUUUUUUCUUUUCUUUUUCUUUUCUUUUCUUUAGCUUUCAUAUGUACUGCUCAGGCCGAUAUGCCCUUUCGAGUGAUGAUUUUUUAUUUUGCUUGUUUAUGUUAGAUACCAGAUAACUUGGAUUGUUGUGACCAAGUGGCAUUAAUCUAUUGUCAAACAAUUCUGACUCCCAAGCAUGCUUUCUCAAA